Molecule: ribosomal RNA, 117 nt
Filed under: Dehalococcoidia bacterium
Lineage: Bacteria; Bacillati; Chloroflexota; Dehalococcoidia
Source: RNAcentral
CUUAGUGAUUAGAGCGGCGGGAGUACACCUGGUCACACCCCGAACCCAGAAGAUAUGCCCGUUAGCGCCGAUGGUACUUGGCUGGAAGCGGCCCGGGAGAGUAAGCCAUCGCCAAGG